CAAUGAAGUACAACGCACAAGAUGGCGGAUGAUGAAUGGGAAGAAGAGGAAACAACAAUAUUGGUAGAAUUAAAUGGAUUAACAGAUUCUGAAUUCUUUAAGAAAGAAAAUGUAGCCUGUAAGAUACUUGGAGUGGACAGCGAUAAACCAUUAUUACAACUUGGUACUAAUUUAUUUAGUGGUGAAUACAAGGAUGUUCUUGGUACCUGUCUCAUCUUCGACAAAAAUACAGAUGCCGAUGAAACCAAUAUAAAGAGUGUUAAAUUUCACAGCAAAACUCAGAAAACUUUAGUCAUGCAUCGAACUUUCCUGAAUGAGAAAUCAGAAGGUGUGAUAGAGUUGUGUAAAGAUACAGCAACUACAGAACAAACGGAUCCUACAACUUAUGACAAACCACCAAUUACACAAGAAAAUACUUGAUCGGAUAUUUUAUUCUACAGUUCAAACACAUCAAUGAGCAAGAUGACUCGCUGGCAAUAUAUUUGAGAUGGAUACGAUUUCGUCUGAUACUCGUGAACUUUUGACCAAGCAUUUGAUAAAGAUGAGAUGGCCCUGUUUCUGUAACCUUGUGCUGUAGAACUGGUGGCUAGAGGUUUGGUAUUUUUGAGAUGGAUACAAUCUGGUGCUGUUGUACUAUUGGCCAAGUCUUUGGUAUCAAGCUGGUUUAAUCUAAGGAAAUGUUACAAAUCAGUAUAAAAUUAAUUUAAAAAACAAACGUGUUGAAUCAUUUAGGAGAAAGGUGACAGAAUAAAGAGACUUGGAUAAAACGAUCAUAAAAAAAACCUAAAUUUAUCUGAGAAACACAAGUUUUAUUUUGAUUGGUGGAUUGAUGGAUCGAUUGAUUUAUCAGUUGGUUUGUUGAUUGAAUGAUUGAUUGAUUGAUUAAUUGGUAGGACAACAUUUUAAGGUACUUCGAUCCAGACAAUGCUAGGCAAGAGACCACAUUUUUAACUUUCCCUGGCUUAAUAAUGUCUACUCAUUGCCUAUUUAUUUGGACCAGAUUUUCUAUUUAUUUGGACCAGAAAUGGAUUUUGAAAUUAAAAUGUCUUUUUAAAAGAGAAAUAAAACAGUUACUGGAUAAAAAAGA
This is a long non-coding RNA of Patella vulgata (common limpet), 1087 nucleotides long. RefSeq lists it as uncharacterized. NCBI's taxonomy places the organism in Eukaryota, Metazoa, Mollusca, Gastropoda, Patellidae. The transcript has 5 exons. The record is from RefSeq and is a predicted model, not a curated record.